Molecule: ribosomal RNA, 497 nt
Filed under: uncultured bacterium
Lineage: Bacteria
Description: partial 16S ribosomal RNA
Rfam family: Bacterial small subunit ribosomal RNA
Source: RNAcentral
GAUGAACGCUGGCGGCGUGCCUAAUACAUGCAAGUCGAGCGGAAGGACGAGAAGUUCGCUUCUUUGAUGUUAGCGGCGGACGGGUGAGUCACAUGUGGAUCACCCACCUAUCAGUCUGGGAUAAUUACGGGAAAUCGGAGCUCAUCCUGGAUAAUAUUUUGAACCGCAUGGUUCAAAAGUGAAUGACGGUUUUGUUGUCACUUUUAGCUGGCUCCUAGCUGUAUUGUGUCGUUGGUAAGGUAACGGCUGACCAAGGCUACGAUGCCUAGCCGACCUGAGAGUGUGAUCGGCCACACUGGAACUGAGACACGGUCCAGACUCCUGCGGGAGGCAGCAGUAGGGAAUCUUCCGCAGUGGGCGAAAGCCUGACGCAGCAGCGCCACGUGAGUGAUGAAGGUCUUCGGUUCGUAAAGCACUAUUGUUAGGUGAGAACAGCUGUGUGUGUAACUGUUCCCAUCUUGACGGUACCAAAUCAAAAAGCCACGGCUAACUACGUG